Molecule: long non-coding RNA, 496 nt
Organism: Notolabrus celidotus (New Zealand spotty)
Lineage: Eukaryota; Metazoa; Chordata; Actinopteri; Labriformes; Labridae
Exons: 3
Source: RefSeq, a predicted model, not a curated record
ACAGCCAGUGUAACAGUUCAGUGCAGGGUUAACAUUACACCAAAAAGGGAACACCCUCAACAUGUUUAGCAAUAUUAUGACCUGAGCAGUUCGUUUAGGAGCAUAUUAAACGACUUUUAUGUCACACAAAGGAUAACACAAGGUGACCUACAUGGGAAAACAAUGUGACUAAAUGUGUGAGUUACACAACUUUCAUACUCACCGGGGUGAGUCUGGGCCAGGAUUGGACCUAAGUUUGCUGAAGGCUUUCCAACUCCAGCAAGAUUUUGAGCACGCACGCGGAAGAGAAGGGAUGCUCCAGCCUUCAGCCCUGAAACCUACAUCAACAAACGACUUUCAAAGGCCUUCCAGCCCUCCUCUCCAGCAGAGGCCUCCUUAACAUCCACAUAGUAGCCGUUGACAGGAGUGCGACCGUGAAAUGCGGGUGGCUCCCACAGGAGCACCACUGAGGUGUCACGUACCUCAAGCACAUGGAGACCAACAGGAGCACCUGGAA